Molecule: ribosomal RNA, 451 nt
Filed under: uncultured bacterium
Lineage: Bacteria
Description: bacterial SSU rRNA
Rfam family: Bacterial small subunit ribosomal RNA
Source: RNAcentral
UCAAGAAACUUCCACAAUGGGCGAAAGCCUGAUGGAGCGACGUCGCGUGAUGGACGAAGUGCUUCGGCACGUAAACAUCUUUUUAUGUGGGAUGAAAUUAUUGACAGUACCACAUGAAUAAGGGGCUCCUAACUCUGUGCCAGCAGGAGCGGUAAUACAGAGGCCCCAAGCGUUAUCCCGAAUCACUGGGCGUAAAGGGUGUCGAGGCGGUUGUAUUAGUCGUUCGUAAAAUCUACGAGCUUAACUUGUAGGCGGCGAACGAAACGGUACGACUUGAGGUUUGGAGAGGUGCGUGGAACUCACGGUGUAGGGGUGAAAUCCGUUGAUAUCGUGGGGAACACCAAAGGCGAAGGCAGCGCACUGGCCAAAAUCUGACGCUCACACACGAAAGCUAGGGUAGCGAAGAGGAUUAGAUACCCGCGUAGUCCCUGAGCGGGCUGGCAAGGCGCAU